AGGGAGAGGGAGAGGGAGAGGGAGAGGGAGAGGGAGACAGACAAUCCAGGAUUAUUCAAGUGGGCCCAGUGACAUCACAAGGGCCCUGAAAAGAUGGAAGAGGCAGGAGUGUCAGCAUCAGAGUGGGGACAUGAGGACCCAGAGUGGGGACAUGAGGACCCAUGUGGACCCAUUGUUGGCUUUGAAGAUGAAAAGGGGCCAUGAACCAAGGAAUGUUGGUGGGCUCAAGAAAUCAGAAAAGGCAAAAAAAGAUGACAGAUUCACCUCAAGAGGUUCCAGAAUGAAUGCAGUCCUGCCAGCACCAUGAUGUGAGCCCAUUGAGACCUGACCUCUGACCUCCAGAAUUACAUCUCCAAGCGAGUGGGCAACAAGAUGCAGGGCUCAUCUGCAGCCCCCAUCCUGGCCCUGCCCCAUCCAACACAGCCACUUCCUAAAAUCGGGGACCUGCACUUCGUAAUCUGAGUCUAAAGGGCAAGGGGCAUUUACCAAAGACUCUGAGAAAACUUCUAAAGUCCUACUAGCGCCACUUGGUUCCCACCAAAAGGAUCUUCAGCAAUUGAAAGUUAAAUGAAUUUCUCAUACAUUCAUCCAACCCAGGAUGGUAGCUGGUCAGCUUUGUGGCAUGAUUUAAAGGCUCUGAAAAAACCACACUGCCCCAAAA
Molecule: long non-coding RNA, 661 nt
Organism: Felis catus (domestic cat)
Lineage: Eukaryota; Metazoa; Chordata; Mammalia; Carnivora; Felidae
Exons: 2
Source: RefSeq, a predicted model, not a curated record